UCGGGGAAGGAGGUGGAUUCAAGGCCGGGCAUGCCUCGACGAUCACCCCACCAUUUUUUUUUAUUGUUAUUUUAUUUAAGUUGUAUUUUUUAUUUUUUUAUUUUUUAUAUAUAAAAUGUACUUUCUCGCUUGUCCAAAUUUGUUUAGAAAUAUAGCUUCGUUCGUUCAUUUAUGAAUUCCUACAAUUAGAGACUGAGUUAGCAUGAAAUUAGCAUCCUAACUCAGCCUAUAAUUGUAAGAGUAUAUUUAGGUUUUGACAUUUUGAAGUUACAUAGGGGACAUGACAUAAGUUGUGAA
Molecule: long non-coding RNA, 297 nt
Filed under: Salvia miltiorrhiza (redroot sage)
Lineage: Eukaryota; Viridiplantae; Streptophyta; Magnoliopsida; Lamiales; Lamiaceae
Description: long non-coding RNA (SMIL_LNC012654)
Source: RNAcentral